AUGUGAGGAUGGUAUACAGU
This 20-nucleotide non-coding RNA is filed under the name Rattus norvegicus (Norway rat). Lineage: Eukaryota; Metazoa; Chordata; Mammalia; Rodentia; Muridae. The record is from RNAcentral.